This 178-nucleotide unclassified non-coding RNA is filed under the name soil metagenome. RNAcentral describes it as "partial internal transcribed spacer 1". The record is from RNAcentral.
CAAGAAGCCCGAAAGGCUACUUACAACCAUAGCGAACCUAUCCUUCAGCGUUGCUUCGGCGGUAGCGGCUCCCCUCAGGGGGACCGGCCCGCCUCAGGCUGGCCUCAGGCCGCCGCCGCCGGAGGUACGAAACUCUGUAUAAUGCUAGGUAUCUCUGAGUAUACAAGCUAAUAAGUCA